GAUGAACGCUAGCUACAGGCUUAACACAUGCAAGUCGAGGGGUAACGAGAGGAAAGCUUGCUUUCCUUGUCGACGACCGGCGCACGGGUGAGUAACGCGUAUCCAACCUGCCCCCAACUAGGGAAUAACCUUGCGAAAGUAAGACUAAUACCCUAUAAUUUCCUCAGAUGACAUCUGACGAGGAAUAAAGAUUUAUCGGCUGUGGAUGGGGAUGCGUCUGAUUAGCUUGUUGGCGGGGUAACGGCCCACCAAGGCAACGAUCAGUAGGGGUUCUGAGAGGAACGUCGCCCAAAUUAGAACUGGGACACGGUCCAAACUCCUACGGGAGGAAGCAGUGAGGAAUAUUGGUCAAUGGGCGUAAGCCUGAACCAGCCAAGUAGCGUGCAGGAUGACGGCCCUAUGGGUUGUAAACUGCUUUUAUACAGGAAUAAAGUUAGCCACGUGUGGUUAUUUGUAGGUACUGUAUGAAUAAGGACCGGCUAAUUCCGUGCCAGCCGCCGCAGUAA
This 506-nucleotide ribosomal RNA is filed under the name uncultured bacterium. Its description in RNAcentral is "partial 16S ribosomal RNA". It matches the Rfam family "Bacterial small subunit ribosomal RNA", at positions 28 to 523 of the family's 1533-position model. The record is from RNAcentral.